RNAcentral lists this ribosomal RNA (497 nucleotides) under uncultured bacterium. RNAcentral's name for it is "partial 16S ribosomal RNA". It matches the Rfam family "Bacterial small subunit ribosomal RNA", at positions 28 to 507 of the family's 1533-position model. The record is from RNAcentral.
GAUGAACGCUGGCGGCGUGCUUAACACAUGCAAGUCGAGCGAACAGACGAGAAGUUUGCUUCUCUGUUGUUAGCGGCGGACGGGUGAGUAACACGUGUAUAAUCUACUUAUAAGACUGGGAUAAUCACGGGAAACCGGAGCUAAUACCGGAUAAUAUUUUGAACCGUAUGGUUCAAAAGUGAAAGACGGCCUUGCUGUCACUUAUAGAUGGAUCUGCGCUGCAUUAGCUAGUUGGUAAGGUAACGGCUUACCAAGGCAACGAUGCAUAGCCGAACUGAUAGGCGGAUCGGCCACCCUAGAGCUGAGACGCGGUCCAGACUCCUGCGGGAGGCAGCAGUAGGCAAUCUUACGCAGUGGGCGAGAGCCUGACGGAGCGGCGCCGCGUGAGUGAUGGAGAUCUUCGGAUCGUGAAGCUCUGUUAUUGGGGAAAAACAUAUGUGGAAGUAACUGUGCACAUCUUGACGGUACCUAGUAAAAAAGCCACGGCUAACUACGUG